RNAcentral lists this ribosomal RNA (873 nucleotides) under uncultured bacterium. RNAcentral's name for it is "bacterial SSU rRNA". It matches the Rfam family "Bacterial small subunit ribosomal RNA", at positions 56 to 937 of the family's 1533-position model. The record is from RNAcentral.
UGACAGUCGAACGAACCACCCGGUGCUUGCACCGGAUUGGUUAGUGGCGAACGGGUGAGUAAUACAUGAGAAACCUGCCCUGGAGACAGGGAUAACCCCGGGAAACCGGAGCUAAAACCUGAUAUCCCUGUGGGAUCGCAUGAUCCUGCAAGAAAACACCCCGGUGCUCCAGGAGGGUCUCAUGGCCUAUCAGCUUGUUGGUAAGGUAACGGCUUACCAAGGCUAAGACGGGUAGCUGGUCUGAGAGGAUGAUCAGCCACACUGGGACUGACACUCGGCCCACACUCCUACGGGAGGCAGCAGUAGGGAAUCUUGCGCAGUGGGCGAAAGCCUGACGCACCCACGCCACGUGUGGGACGACGGCCUUCGGGUUGUAAACCACUUUCAGCAGGGACGAAAUUGACGGUACCUGCAAAAGAAGCCCCGGCCAACUACGUGCCAGCAGCCGCGGUAACACGUAGGGGGCGAGCGUUGUCCGGAAUUACUGGGCGUAAAGGGCUCGUAGGCGGUUUGGUAAGUCAGAUGUGAAAACUCCAGGCUCAACUUGGAGACGCCAUCUGAAACUACUAUGACUAGAGGUUGGUAGAGGAGUGCAGAAUUCUCGGUGUAGCGGUGAAAUGCGCAUAUAUCGGGAGGAAUACCAGUCAGCGUAGGCGGCACUCUGGGCCACAACUGACGCUGAGGAGCGAAAGCGUGGGUAGCGAACAGGAUUAGAUACCCUGGUAGUCCACGCCGUAAACGGUGGGCAUUAGGUGUGGGGCCCUGUCAACGGGCUCCGUACACGUAGCUAACGCGUUAAAUGCCCCGCCUGGGGAGUACGGCCGCAAGGCUAAAACUCAAAGGAAUUGACGGGGGCCCGCACAAGCGGCGGAG